UCUCUCUUGGUAUAUCGGUAGAACACCACCCUGUCAAGCGGGUUACCCGCAGUACGGUGGAGAGCUGGGUUCGACUCCCAGAGGGAGAG
Molecule: non-coding RNA, 89 nt
Organism: Tulasnella sp. 403
Lineage: Eukaryota; Fungi; Basidiomycota; Agaricomycetes; Cantharellales; Tulasnellaceae
Source: the annotation of a GenBank genome assembly